ACUCCUACGGGAGGCAGCAGUGGGGAAUAUUGGGCAAUGGAGGAAACUCUGACCCAGCGACGCCGCGUGAGGGAUGAAGGCCUUCGGGUUGUAAACCUCUUUCAGUAGGGAAGAAGCGAAAGUGACGGUACCUACAGAAGAAGCGCCGGCUAACUAUGUGCCAGCAGCCGCGGUAAUAC
RNAcentral lists this ribosomal RNA (179 nucleotides) under uncultured bacterium. Its description in RNAcentral is "partial 16S ribosomal RNA". It matches the Rfam family "Bacterial small subunit ribosomal RNA", at positions 335 to 526 of the family's 1533-position model. The record is from RNAcentral.